RNAcentral lists this long non-coding RNA (569 nucleotides) under Nicotiana benthamiana. Its description in RNAcentral is "long non-coding RNA (NBEN_LNC013880)". Lineage: Eukaryota; Viridiplantae; Streptophyta; Magnoliopsida; Solanales; Solanaceae. The record is from RNAcentral.
CUAACAACUUGUAUACUUAUUGAAAUUAAGUUAGAAGUAUUACAAUUUAGAAGUCUAGAAAGUAGAAACCAUGAAAAUACAGGUAAGUGCCUUGAAAAGACCAUUCAAGGAUGAAGGAACUAAAGAAAAACAUCCAACAACAACAUUGUCAAAAAAGAAAAAAUUAGCUAUAGAAAAAUACAAAUCUUAAACCCAAACUUAUAAACUGAAAAUACCAUUGCUCCUCCUUGUAUUAUUGGAAAAAAACAUCUAGGCUAUUGCCUGUCUAAUAAUCUCUUCAUGAAAAUAAUUUUCAAUACAUCUUACAGAGAUAAAAUAUUUCGAUGAACCAUCUAACAUACCUUUCACGUACAGUAUCGCCUAGCACCACCAUAAUCAUAGUUCAAAUUCCUCUUUAUUUUAACCUCUGUAAGUUGAAUCAAGUAGGUCGCAAUUGAGAAAUCUGCAUCUAUAGAGAGUCAACACAUGGAUGGGUUCUAAUUCUCACCUUUAAUACAAAACAUUUGAUUAAUCGAUUCCUAUUCAAAUUGAGACUCUUUUAGCGAGACAUUUUCAAGCCAGAAUACGCG